GAUGAACGCUGGCGGCGUGCCUAAUACAUGUAAGUCGAGCGAACGGACGAGAAGCUUGCUUCUCUGAUGUUAGCGGCGGACGGGUGAGUAACACGUGGAUAACCUACCUAUAAGACUGGGAUAACUUCGGGAAACCGGAGCUAAUACCGGAUGAUAUUUUGAACCGCAUGGUUCAAAAGUGAAAGACGGUCUUGCUGUCACUUAUAGAUGGAUCCGCGCUGCAUUAGCUAGUUGGUAAGGUAACGGCUUACCAAGGCAACGAUGCAUAGCCGACCUGAGAGGGUGAUCGGCCACACUGGAACUGAGACACGGUCCAGACUCCUACGGGAGGCAGCAGUAGGGAAUCUUCCGCAAUGGGCGAAAGCCUGACGGAGCAACGCCGCGUGAGUGAUGAAGGUCUUCGGAUCGUAAAACUCUGUUAUUAGGGAAGAACAUAUGUGUAAGUAACUGUGCACAUCUUGACGGUACCUAAUCAGAAAGCCACGGCUAACUACGAG
This 497-nucleotide ribosomal RNA is filed under the name uncultured bacterium. RNAcentral describes it as "partial 16S ribosomal RNA". It matches the Rfam family "Bacterial small subunit ribosomal RNA", at positions 28 to 507 of the family's 1533-position model. The record is from RNAcentral.